Molecule: long non-coding RNA, 941 nt
Filed under: Pongo abelii (Sumatran orangutan)
Lineage: Eukaryota; Metazoa; Chordata; Mammalia; Primates; Hominidae
Description: lincRNA
Source: RNAcentral
ACCCACAACGGCCAAGGCCCGGCUACAGCGCGUCCACGAAGCCCACGUACUGAGCCAGGACGGGGCUCUCCCUCUCGAUGUAGGGGACUACCCACUGCUCCGCCACCCAGUGAGGCAGCUAAUUAAGAAAGCCACCUUCAGGAUGUCUUUCAAGAAUCUAGCCUGGAAGAAAGUCAUGUAAGAGAACCCUGCAUCAAAAAGUCGGGAGGCCGGGCGGAGUCGCCGUUAAACGUCUCGGGAAAGCCACCAGGUGGGCCGGCGAACGCUCCCGGGCCAGCAGGUAUAUAUUAGAAAAUAAAAUUUUAAAACAACAUGUGGCCAGAUAUAUGACAGAUCUUCAAUAGAUAGUUAUUUUAUAUUCUGUAUCUGAUAAUUCUGAAUCCUUAAGAAUCAAAAUCUGUUGUUUCUGAUGGCUCUCAUAAUGGCAUGUUUCUUUAUGUGUAUCAUAUAUGAACAAUUGUCUACUAAGUCUUUCACUAAUAUGGGAUACACAAGUUAUAAUAAUCAGCCAUCCUCAGUUGCCUGGUCCAUGUCACAGUUAUUAAGUGGUAGAGCUCAGAAUUAAAUUCAGGUCUGUCUGACUUCAAAAACAACUUUUGCUCUCUCGGCCUUAGCGCCAUCUUCUUGAAAACCUCUGCACCAUGACAGCCAAGUGGAGAAAGAAGUGAAUGCAUAGGCUGAAAUGCAAAAGAAGAAAAGUGAGGCAGAGGUCCAAGUAAACUGCUAGCUUGUGCACCCAUGGAGGCCACAGCAGCAGAAACAUGAAGUGCCAGAGGCUGGGGAUGCUGGCACAAGUUGUUGGACUGCAUGCUACUGUCUAGAGCUUGUCUCAAUGGAUCUAGAACUUUCAUUGCCAUCUGAUCACUGAGACCACCUCUGAGACCCACCUUGCUCAUAAUCAAAUCUGUCCAUCUUGGGUUUUUGCCCUGGAACUGUGACAU